Molecule: non-coding RNA, 671 nt
Organism: Sus scrofa (pig)
Lineage: Eukaryota; Metazoa; Chordata; Mammalia; Artiodactyla; Suidae
Source: RefSeq, a predicted model, not a curated record
UUGGUUGACCUGUGAUAUGGUAGAUGGCAAAAACGGAAACCUCCAUCCUAAGAAGUUGGAAGUGUUUGCUACAAGGUGGUUGAUCUCUAACACUUGGGGAUAUAGAAAACAUGCCUAAGAAAGCUGGAAUAUUGGAAAUUUUGCAGAAAACCUCUAGAAUGUAGGGACAUAUUGGUUACUCCUUGCUGCCUUCACUUAGCUCCAGCAAGAAAACAAAUUUCUUUUACAAAGAACUUCCAGGCACACUCACCCUUCUGGAAACAGAGGGAAGAAAAUAAAAUCAUGCUAAGAAAGACCUUUUCCAUGUACAAGUCAUUGGAGAUGACUUCAAUUCUGUUCGUAUUUUACUUGUAGGGUUAGAGAUACUGAGUUGGAUAAAGUUGGAAUUGAAGCUAAACUGAAGUAGAAGAUAAGAGAGCCAGAAGAAUCAACAGCUUUCUCUCUCAGGCUUCUUUUAAACACCUUCACCUGUGAACUUCCUAUUUGGAAAGGAGAAACAUCAAUUGCAAAGCAAAGAGCCAGUCCUUGGACCACAGUUUAGAGACAUCAUCAAGAAUGCGGCACAGGAUACGGCGUUGCUGGUCUCAGAAAUAGCCUCCACAAUGCAUCAACCAAAGACCCCAGCAAUGAAGAGCAAAGCCCCCUUGGAAUGAGAAUUUAAGACCUGACCU